Molecule: long non-coding RNA, 427 nt
Organism: Fukomys damarensis (Damara mole-rat)
Lineage: Eukaryota; Metazoa; Chordata; Mammalia; Rodentia; Bathyergidae
Exons: 3
Source: RefSeq, a predicted model, not a curated record
CCCUGCGUCCCCGCUGACCACCGGCCGCGAGCCCUGCGCCCUGCACUCGGCCGGACGCCUGCCCGCCGCCUCCGGACCUCUGCCCCCGGACUAGCAAAGGGACAAGGACUGCUCAGCGUGACUUAUUCGGGCCACGCCUUAGCAGAGGUGAAGCCUGGAGUCCAAGUCCCCGGGAUCAGUUAGCUGUGUCUUCUGCAAUGAAGCUCAUUGGGAUCAAUAAAAGGAGUGCCAAAGAGGAAACUUAGGCCUGGGUCUGCUUGGCUGAGCGAGCAUCCCCUGACCAAGGAGCACCACAAAGACCAACAGUGAGCAGACUUCUAGUUGUGAUUUAUGUUAGCUCCAAAUACAAGUGAUUAAAAUUCUCUAUUUAAAACUACUAGACCACCUCCUGUUUCACAAGCGCAAGGUCCGAAGUUUGAUCCCCGAU